UGAGCAGAACUGGAAGCCAAUUCGGGUCCAUAUUUCGGGCGUCCGGAUGAGGGUCCGAAAGUUUACCUCGUGAGUAUCGUUGCGCUGACACGUGGCUGGUGGUUGGUGAGGUCUGCCGGAGCCGAAUGCGGGCGCAGCACACCGCGGGCAGAGAGUCUGAGGAGGAAGCUUUGUGUAGCCUGGAGGAUUCGGGCGCCCAUAAUAUGGGUCUGGGAGCCCAUAAUGUGGGUCCGGGCGCCCGGAAGUGCCCGAGUCUGUAGGGACACCAGAUUGCAGCAGCUGUUCUUGGGGCUUAUUCUACCAUUCCAGCACUCUAUAAAUAGGUGGAGAGUGAUCCUGUUUUCCAGCGACGACUUUCGGUGUUUUGGUUCGUGUGCGACGUAGGAAGGUCGGAUGGCGGUGAAACUUGGUUUGCUGGAUUCUAGACUUCCGGAGGAAUCCACGAAGCCCAGAAUUGCAGAUUUUGAUUGAGGGAAAGUUUGGACCUGAGUUAGAUAUCUUAGUUUACUCCACUGGAUUUGAAAUCUUCCUCACCAGAUUUGGAUGUGAUUAG
Long non-coding RNA from Ananas comosus (pineapple), 553 nucleotides. RefSeq lists it as uncharacterized. The record is from RefSeq and is a predicted model, not a curated record. Lineage: Eukaryota; Viridiplantae; Streptophyta; Magnoliopsida; Poales; Bromeliaceae. The transcript is spliced from 3 exons.